UAGCUCAGUAGGUAGAGCAUGGUGUUUGCAAUGCCAGGGUUGUGGGUUCGAUUCCCAC
Salmo salar (Atlantic salmon) is the source of this 58-nucleotide non-coding RNA. The record is from Rfam. NCBI's taxonomy places the organism in Eukaryota, Metazoa, Chordata, Actinopteri, Salmoniformes, Salmonidae.